RNA transcript from Fundulus heteroclitus (mummichog), 15204 nucleotides. It is a transcript of the gene named bassoon (presynaptic cytomatrix protein) b, with no coding region annotated. NCBI's taxonomy places the organism in Eukaryota, Metazoa, Chordata, Actinopteri, Cyprinodontiformes, Fundulidae. The transcript is spliced from 12 exons. The record is from RefSeq and is a predicted model, not a curated record.
GUCAGCGCGCGUGCUCCGUGCGGGAUGCUGAAUUGUUGGUGAUGAUGGCGGAAGGGGAGCGACGCUGAGUUCCAUCCGAGUUUUUACCCCAGCUGUAAAAACCACCCACAACCACCGUUUCUCUCCGUCGAGACCUAUCCCGAGGCAAUGGGGAACGAGGCCAGCAUGGAGGGGGAGGGACAGGCGGGACAGCCCGGCGCCGCCGUCCCUGCAGCGGGGGCUCCGACUUCCAUUUCAGCACCACCGGACUCUGGACAGCUCAUCAAGCCCAGCAAUGGAGCGCCAGCCGGAGGAAGUGGGGCUGCGUCCGGGCCAGGGAUUAACAGACCACCUCCAUCAGACCCUGGGCCUAAAGCAGGAAUGCAGAGCACCCACGGGACAGGCGACAGGUUGGCCUCCCACGAUGCCAGUCAACAUGCUGCGCCUCCAGGAGGCCAGGGCCAGGGACAUGUGGCCAGGAAGAAUCUGCAGGUUGACUUGGGUGCCGGCAGAACUGGAAGGUCCCCUUCUGUGUCCCCGGACCGUGGAAGCGUCCCAACCUCCCCUUAUUCUGUGCCUCAAAUUGCUCCGAUGCCCAGCAGCAAACUGUGUCCUGUCUGCAAAACCACCGACCUUAUGGGCACUGGAGACGACAAGCCUAACUCCAACACCUGCACUCAGUGUCGCUCCAUGGUGUGCACCCAGUGUGGCUUCAACCCCAACCCUCACCUCACAGAGGUGCAAGAGUGGUUAUGUCUGAACUGUCAGAUGCAGAGAGCACUGGGGAUGGAUAUGACCACGCCACGCUCCAAGAGUCAGCAGCAGAUCCACUCUCCUUCUCAUCCAACCCCCCCUGAGCCCAAACCUGAGCCCAAACCUGAGCCCAAACCUGAGCCUGCACCUCAGCCACAGCCCACUCCUCAGAAACAGCCUGUAGCUCAGGCCCAUCCAGGGCCUGGCCCUACCAAACAGCCUAUUACAGGUGGCCCCAGUCAUCAACAACCCAAACUGCCUCCAGGGGCGGUACCUCUCCCGGGCAUGGCCAAGGCUCCAUCCCAACCGGACCUCUCUCGAGGUUCGCCCGCCCACCAGCCCCAUCACCCCCGCCAAGAUCAGACUCGCAGUGCAGGAAGCUCCCCAUCACGACAGCCCCCACCUCCAGAGCAGACGUUUGGAAAGCUGUUUGGCUUUGGCGCCUCCCUUCUAAACCAGGCCAGCACUCUCAUAUCUGAGACCACUCAACCGCAGCAGCAGCAGCAGCAGCAGCAGCAGCAGCAACAGCCCCCAAAACCAGCUCCCAAACCUGGUGGGCCCCCUGGUCCAGGACCCGGAGCAGGUAAACCUUCGGCUCAACCUGCGCAACAAGGGCCCCAGGCCGCGCCUCAGCAACAACGACAUGCUCCUCCUGAGUCUUCUAAGCCCAAAGCUUCCUGUCCUCUCUGUAAGACAAACCUUAACAUUGGCAACGUGGCUGAGGAACCCAACUACAAUACCUGCACACAGUGCCACUCCCAGGUGUGCAACAUGUGUGGAUUCAAUCCCACUCCACACCUACUUGAGAAGAAAGAAUGGCUCUGCUUAAACUGCCAAACACAGCGGGCUCUGUCGGGAAGCUUGGGCGAUAUUCCGCCUCCUGUAGCCCCCUCCACGGGAUCUCCUCGAGCGCCUGCUCCAUCCAAACAACAAACACCUCAGCAGAAAGCACCCAGUCAAGUUUCAGGACCUAGGACAACAGGUCCUCACCAACAGAAAGCUGCGGGUCCCCAAGUAAGUGGCCCUCCCUCUAACGUGAAACAGGCUGGGCCUGCCCCUCAAUCAAAGGGGCUCAGUCAACCCCACUCUCAAACCAAGGGUUUCACUCAGCCACCCUCCCAACCUAAGAGUCAAACACAACCUUCCUCUCAGAGCAAGGGGCCAGCUCAAGUUAAAGGUCCCAGCCAGUCACAUGCUCAAAAUAAGCCCCCUGCACAGCCUGCUAACCAAGUGAAGGGCCCAAGUCAGGCCAAAGGGCCGACUCAGACAAAAGGAUCUGCUCAGCCCUCUGCUCAGACUAAGGGCCCUUCUCAUCCUUCUGGUGCCAAGGUUUCAUCUGGCUCUGGUAAAGUUGCUCCUAACCAUACCAAGGCUUCUACCCCUUCAAAACCAGUCCCCACUCAGUCUAAACCCACAGGUAACAACCAGCUGCGCAAACAGCCGCAAGGCCAGGACAAGACUAAAGUCACCUCUAGAUCUCUAAAAGAAGAUUCCAAAGUCUCCCAGAAGAAGGCUUUGUCAGAGACUGUGACUUCACCACACGAGAUCAAGAUAGCUGAAGAAGAAAACAAGUCAAGACACCAUGAAGACUCCAAUAAAUCAAGUACCCAGAGCUUAAGUGACACUGGAUACUCUUCAGAUGGGAUCUCCAGCUCACAAGGGGAGAUUGCAGGUCAGAUCCGAGAAGAGGGAAUCAAGCUUAAUGAACGAGGUGCUUCCAUCCCUUCAGACAUCAACAAAUUAGAGAGCUCUAUGAAACCUCUGCUUGAAUCAAAAACUGCCUCAGACCCAAAGUAUAGACCACAUUCGCUUUCUGUGGGUCAAGAGCGAAACUACAGUCCUGAUGAAGAAGCAGCAAGGGAUGAAUCAGAGGAUGACCUCAGUUGUAAACUUCGCCAUGAUUAUGUGGAAGACAGCAGUGAAAGUGGUCUGUCACCCUUGCCAAUAAGACAGAAGAAGUCCCAUAAAGAAUUAACAGAUGAAGAAUACAUGAGGAGGCAGAUUAUGGAGAUGAGUGCUGAUGAAGAAGAACUAGAAGAAUAUGGAAACCAGAAAACCAAAAAGACGCAUAAACCCAGUGGAGAUUCGAGCAAAGAGAGAAGGCGACUCUCACAUCAGUCAAAUAGUUUUGAAGAAGAUAAAAAAGUAUCUGAAGGUGCUUAUAAAGCAAAUGAAGAGGAAGAUGUUGUUAUGGCUGGAGGCCUUCGACGAUUUAAGACUAUCGAGCUGAAUAACACCAACAGCUACAACCGAGAAAUUGAGCUCAGUAAUGAGCAUGACCUACGAGAACCAGAACUCGAAAUGGAGAGUCUGACUGGUUCGCCAGAGGAGAGAUCAAAGGGUGAUUAUUCAUCCACACUACCUGCCACCACACCCAGUUACACUUCUGGAACAUCACCCACCUCUGUGUCAUCUAUGGAGGAUGACAGUGACAGCAGUCCUAGUAGAAGAGCACGACUUGAAGAGGCAAAGCAGCAGAGGAAAGCUCGACAUCGGUCCCAUGGGCCUCUGCUCCCCACAAUUGAAGACUCCUCUGAGGAGGACGAACUCAGAGAGGAAGAAGAACUGCUAAGGGAACAGGAGCAGAUGAGAGAUCUUGAGCAACAGAGGAUUCGAAGUACAGCUCGGAAAACAAAACGAGACAAAGAAGAGCUGCGGGCACAAAGACGCAGAGAACGGUCCAAAACUCCCCCCAGUAAUCUUUCCCCUAUUGAGGAUGCAUCACCAACAGAGGAGUUGAGACAGGCAGCAGAGAUGGAGGAGCUUCAUAAAUCAUCAUGCUCUGAAUACUCACCUUCCAUGGACUCAGAAGCUGAAGGUUUUGAGAUAAUUGGUGGAAAACUUUACAAAUCAGGAAAUGAAUUUAACCUUCCAACCUUCACUUCACUCUAUUCACCAACAGAUAAGACAUCAACACCAUCUGAUAAAACCUUAAAGAGUGCAGAAGAGGUAUAUGAAGAGAUGAUGAGAAAAGCACAACUCAUGCAGAAACAGGGACAAAAGGGGUCCUCUCAGCCAGAUAGUGGCCAUCAUCUCGAUGCUGGAACCUCCCUAACACCUGGCUCAAGCCCAACACAAGUUACUGCACCCUUAUCCUUCUCCGGCAGUGAUUCAAGAAUGGCAGGCAUGCAUGCUGCACAGCAUCUAUCAAAAGAAACGCAAAACAGAAUGAUGACACAGAGUGCCAAAAUUGAAGGAGUUGUUGGAGUAGCCACUACUAAAGCUCAAAUUAGUCAGGGAACCUCAGCUCGGCAGACAGGAAGCACGGCGGCUGUUGGCAACAAAGCAGGUCUGCAGAGACCAACACAAGCAACACCUGACCCUGGAUCAUCUUCUUUGACCUCCAAAGUUUUUUCUCUUUUUAAAGGACCCAGCCCUCCAGUCUCCCCUACAACAUCUCCAACACAAAGUCCAACACAUUCUCCAUCUGUUCGACCCACUAGCAGUAGUGGCAGGCAGCUACCAACCUUGCCUUCUGGUGCCACAACAGCUCCAGCCUCCCAUGGUGCACAGGCACCUCAAAGGACAAUGUCACCUCGUCUUGUACGACAGCAGUCAUCCCAAGAUUCACCUGUAAUGGUCAUAACCCUAGGCUCUGAAAAGUCCAGCCCCACUAAGCCAAUUACCGUAAACUCAUCCACUUCCCCCUUAUCGUCACCGACACAGGCCAAUUGUAAAACCUUGUAUAGCUCACAGCCCCCUUCAACAAGUUCCCCAACAUCACCUCAAAAGCAUUCAUCUCAACAGCUAAAACAUUCUUCCCCAACGUAUAUUGAAAAGGUAAAUGUUGGUGUCAGUGCUGGGACCACAAGUGCACAAGGUCGUGCUUCAAAAGUUGUGGGACAAAGUCAAACACAGCAAAGCACAACUGUUGUAGAUCUGAGAGCUCCAGCAAGACCAGCUCCAAUUAUUAUGACAGAUCAAGGAAUGGAUCUAACCUCCCUCGCUUCUGACACAAGAAGAUACUCUCUAGGAGCCGAGCAGUCCUCAAGUAGACACACAGCAGUGCAGCCUCUUAUUAUGAACCUCAAUGCACAAGAGCAACCACAUGUUUCUGUAUCAACCCCAACAACAGUAAGUGUCACAGUUGCAGGGUCAACGUUCAUGUCUCAAUCCAAACAACCUGUUGUAUAUGGAGACCCAUUACAGAACCGUGUGGAUCUGGGGCAGGGUGUUGGAUCUGCUGUUUGUUUAUCACAAAGUAAAACACCAAUUUCUGAUCCAUCCAUACCCAAAAUUGAUGCCUGUCUAGAAAAUCUUGGCAUACAGCAGCAACAACUGCAGUUGCAGCAGCAGAAACUCCUCCAGCAGCAGCAGCUUCUUGAACAACAGCUCCAGCAGCACCAACAACAGUCCUCUUUUGCUCGAUAUAAUUUAGCCAAUCAGGUACAGCCACCGCUGAUGAAAAAAGACCUUGUAGUGACACAGACAAGCGGUGGGCAGCCUGUGGUGACUGUUAGUGCAAUACCUAGAGUUUCUCCUCUUGCUCCACCAUCAGUAACUUCUAAUGUAUCCCUUGAAAUGUAUGGUGGAGUUGCCUUAGAACUAAAAAAUAAGCCAACAGUGAUAAACCUGUCAACAGGAAAACCCCAUAUUAUGAUGGUACAACUUGAUGAGAGUAACACAUCAAAAAGUGGGACAAUGACUCAGCUGGUUAAGCGAGAGGAGCAGCCCCCUGCCCCACCACCUCCUCCUCAGGUUUUGGAUCUAACUGGGCAGCUUAAACAAGAAAACCAAGUGGCUUGCUGUGAUGUUGUUUACAAAUUACCAUUUGCUGGUACCUGUCCAGGAACAUUCUCUCAGAAGCCAUCAACAGUGUCCUCAGAUAAAAGUCUCACUGAAACUUCUCAAGCAGCACACUCUCCUCAGCCACCACACUACAUUGUUAGCCAGGAGCAACAACAACAACACCAGCCUCAGGUUACGCAAGGACUACCCGAGGAACACAAACUAUAUCCACCAGCUAUGGGCUCUUUGGGGAGAUUGCAGCCCUCUAUGUCUGAUACUAAUCUGCCUUCUACUAGUGAUGCUGGUCCCUAUCAGAAUAAUCUCCAGGGGGGUCUUGCUGUAGAUCUCAGCAGUAUGAAUCAAGGUUAUGAUGGUGGAUACCUUGGCAUGGGGGCACAGUAUGGAUCUUACACAGACUUGCGUCACCAGGGGGAUUUUACAGGACCUUCAUUACCCAUUCGUAGAUAUGGCUCCAUGUCAAAUAUCAACUCUGAUUAUGCCAGUGGUUCACGUGAUCUCACAGGAUCACAAGACUCCAAUCUGGCUCAGUACAGUGCAACUACUGCUAGGGAGAUUAGUCGUAUGUGUGCAGCCCUUAACACUGUCGACCAGUUUGGAAGCCGUUUUGGAAAUAACCCUGAACUGGCAGCAUAUGGAGCUGGAAGAGGUGGACCUUUAGCUAGGUUGAAUAUCCAACAAAGCCUGGCAUCAAUAAGGGCAAAUUUGCUUUAUGGGCCAGAUAGCAGGCAAGCUAUGAAUGGCCAAGCCCUAACAAAUCUAAUCAAUGCAAGACAAGCAAGUAUACGCGCCUUGUACCCCACUGCUAUGAGAGGUGGUGAUGGCAUGAUAUAUUCCACCAUUAACACUCCCAUAGCUUCAACCUUGCCAAUUACUACACAACCUGCCCCUGUUAUUCGUCCCAUGCCAAGAGGAAUUUACAGACCCUACCCUACAGGUGUAACUGCUGUACCUCUGGCUAGUCUCACUAGAUUGCCUCAGAUGACUCCCAGAAUGCCUCUGUCCACACAAGGCCCAUAUUCCUAUCCCCCUCCAAAUCAGUAUCCUUCAUCUGUCACACCAACAGGAAGUGCUGCUGUAUUAAGUAGCUCCCAACAGGAAAAUCCAAUGUACCUUGGGAAGUCUUUAACGACAAUAUCUGGAGCAGCGGGUACCAGCAUUCCACCAACCCCACCUGCAGCACACUUGGGAGCACAAAAUGUUCCUGCACCUGGUAUUCAAACCACAACAGAACAGAAAAUAGACCAAUCUCAAUUUACUUCACAAAGUAUUGCAUCUCUCUCACAAGCUCAAGGCCAGCCUUCAACAGCCCAACAGGCUAGAAUGCAGAUGCAGCAAUUGCCUACACAGACAGAACCUUUAUCUUUGACCCAAAUCCAACCUCAAACACAACCACUCAGUCAGCCUCAGUCUGUAGUUCUCUCUCAGGACCAGACACAAGCUGAAACUACCCAGGCAUCAAGUUCCAAAUUAUCCCCUCCCACUGAUGCACAAAAAAACAAAGAAGAAGAGAAGCUAAAUCAGCAACAAGAACAACUGCUACAGCUAGAGAGAGAACGGGUUGAAUUAGAAAAACUUAGGCAGUUGCGCCUGCAAGAGGAGCUCGAAAGAGAUCGAAUGGAGCUUCAACGUCACAGAGAAAAAGAACAACUGCUUGUUCAACGUGAGAUCCAAGAACUGCAGACAAUAAAACAACAAGUCCUACAACAACAGCAAGCAGAGAGGGAGACACAACUUAUAAUGCAAAGAGAACAGUUGGCCCAGCAAAGAAUGCAGCUUGAGCAAAUUCAGACUCUGCAGCAGCAGCUUCAGCAGCAAUUGGAGGAGCAGAAGAGGCAAAAGACAGUGGCAGUUGAAGCAGCGGCAGCAGCUGCAGCUGCUGAGGCAGCUGCAGCAUCAGCUGCAGCCGUAGCUGCAGCUACAUCAGCCCAGAGUGCCAUCCACGGGGUAGUUGUUGGAGCAGGGGCCCCUCAAGGGGUUAUAUUCUGUGAUCAGACAGGUAGAGUGAUUCAGCAAGAUGGGCAGAGUGUGCAGUUUUGGCAGGAUGGACAAGUUGUCCAAGCAGUGGUGGCUUCUCGACCCAUUCAUAGCUCCACCUCAGAAAUGUCUUUGAGAAGCAGUGACAAGCAGGCUGAUUCUAAGAUUAUGAAAAAGCAGAAUUCCAUGCCUCGUCUGAGGGAUGGUUCAGAAGAGGACUCUGUCAAAAGGAUUACAGACAGCUGUGUGCAAACAGAUGAUGAGGAUGGUGAAGAAAGGUACAUGAAUAGGCGUAGGAGAACAAGGCGCAUUGCAGACUGCAGUGUACAGACUGACGAGGAAGACCAGGGAGAAUGGGACCAACAGCCAGUAAGGCGCAGACGGUCUCGUGUGUCCAAGCACUCUGAAUCUAGUGGCGAGGCGAAAUCUGAUGGCUCUUCCAAAGUGGUUUCUGCAAGUAUAGCUAUUCAGACCACUAAUGACUCAUCAUGUCAAACAGAAUCAGACCUACUUGGCAGAGUUUCACCUGCAAUCCACAUUACUAUGGCAGAGACCUCAAAAGUUGAUCUGUUGCAUUAUAUAGCAGCUCCGGAAAGAACUCACAAAGGCGAGAGUCUAGCCUGCCAGACAGAACCAGAAUCACAUUCUCAGGGAGUAGUUGCCCCUCAGCUGAGUGUCCCUACAACUAUUAGCCCGUACUCGACAAGUCUCCAUAUAGUAGGUGGAAAUACAUCUGACACAACUUCUCCCAGACUCCAAGGAGUUGCUAAAUUUGAAAGGAGGAAGCCAGAUCCUCUGGAAAUCGGCUAUCAUCAACAACAAAAUGAGUCUUCAUCUCGCCAACCCCCCAAAUCUCCCCAAGUACUGUACUCCCCAGUUUCUCCUUUAUCUCCUCAUCGGAUGUUGGAGACAACUUUCGCCUCCCAGGAAAAGCUUAACAAGGCCCAUGUUACGCCCCAGCAGAAGGCCUUCACUACUGAAUCUCCACAACGCCAUCAGACUCUGCCGAGGCCUAUAAAAAGUGUGCAGCGCUCUAUGUCGGACCCUAAACCUCUCAGCCCAACAUCAGAGGAUCCGGGCAAGAACCGUUUCUCCCCGUAUCACCAAGUUUUGUCCAACAGUCAGAUGGCCUCCCUGCAGCAGCAGCAGAACGCUCUGAUGAGGAAAGUAAAGAGGACUCUCCCCAGCCCCCCUCCAGAGGAAGCUCCGCUCCCCAUUGUUACCCCAGCACAAAUGUACAGCUCCCCUGGCAUGCCUCAGAGGGUGCAUCCAAGACCAAGCCAAGGAGUCACCAAGGCUGGCCUGUUGAGUGAAUUAAAAGCAGUGGAGCAAGAGUCGUCAAAGCUCCGCAAGCAGCAGGCCGAACUAGAAGAAGAAGAAAAAGAGAUUGAUGCCAAGCUACGCUAUUUGGAGCUGGGCAUUACGCAACGUAAGGAGACCAUGGUGAAGGAGAGGGAGAGGAGAGAGUUAGCCUAUUUGCGAUGUAUGGGUGAUGCACGAGACUAUAUGUCAGACAGUGAACUCAAUAAUCUUCGGAUGGCUGCUGCAACAGGAACCUAUGAUGCUAAUGGUUUACUGACAAGACCUAGUACAGCACCACUGAGUCAGUUUAGUAAUGAGCUCAAUGCAGCAUCCCAGUAUCCCCCAACCUCCUCCUAUAUGCCAUAUCCAUACCCUCAAAGUCAACCUUCAACACAGCAGCCUGGUUCUGCUUACCAGCCAAUAGGUUUCCAAACUCCUCAAUACCCUUCAUCUUCUGCACCACAGCCUGGAACAUUCCAACCCCAUCCUCCAACAGUUCCUGGGUACCAAAACCAGGGAACCUAUUCCUCCCGCAUGUAUGGACAGCCUUCCUAUCAAACUGAUUUCACAAUGCAGCAACAUGGUCACCAGGGCUUCCAUUCACCCGGUCAGCCAAUGCCAGGACAGAGCCUUCCUUAUCCUAGUCACAGUUCCUACCAGCCUGGCCUCACCUACCAGCCACAGGCAGAAAUCCUUACCGUCCAUCAAAGACCAAGGCAAACUUCUUUGGCUGACCUUGAACAAAAACUUCCCACCAAUUAUGAAGUCAUUAGCAACCCAGCAGUCUCAGUGGCCACAUCUGCUCCAGAUGCCAACUAUGGACCAGUUUACAGCAAUGCAUAUGGACAAUAUCGCCCCCCUGAGCCUGGCCUAACUCACUCUGUGGAUAGUCCCACCUCUGCUUACACGUCAGAUGGUCUCUACACAUCCAACCUGGAGCAGAACAUUCCAAGGAAUUAUGUAAUGAUUGAUGACAUCAGUGAGUUGACAAAAGACAACACAGGUCAGCCCACCGAUGCGCUUGGUCAUCCUGUGGGAGGACGGUAUCGCAGUGAGAAUGGCUCUGCAAGAGGAACUGGCUAUGAGGAGCCUGUUGAUGCUUAUGGAAGACCGACAGGAUCAGCUGGUUAUCAAAGCACAGCAGACAGUCGCACCAGCACUACAGUGAGUGGCGGCUCCUCUUAUUACUAUGAUGAUUAUAAACAUUCCUCUCGCUCUGGUGGCCACAAAAUCUCGUCCAAAAAUCUUGCUCCUGCUGUAGUCUCCUCUAAACGUAGUAAGCACAGGAAACAGGGAAUGGAGCAAAAGAUUUCCAAAUUUUCCCCUAUUGAGGAAGCUCGGGAUGUAGAGUCAGACCUUGCUUCAUACACAAUGACAUCAACUGCUGGCACCUGUCCAGUUGGGUCAAGAUCUAAAAAGCUUCAAGAUGAUGUCACUUAUGGCAUGAAGAAAAACACAUAUGAUCAACAGAAAUAUUACGGCACCAGUCAUGAGGGUCUUGAAGAGGACGACCGCAUGUACAGCUCUGGAAGGUCCAGAUCCACUGGUUAUGGUAUGGAUAAGAUUUCGUCUAGAGACGCUCCUGGUCACCGCAGCAAAUCGUACGAGAGAGAUGCCAUGGAGCGAUCUCAUAGAAGCAGCCGCAGUGGACGUCCUCCAAUGCGAACUCAGAAUUCAGAAGAGGAGAGCCCACUUAGUCCUGUUGGGAAGCCUGUAGGUAUGGGAAGAACGUCUGCAAUGUCAGAGGCUCACGAUGUGAGAAACCAGUACGGUUCCAGCCAUUCGCUGCCAGACGUGCAAGACCACCACAAGAAGGAACUUCCCAGAAGUCACGUCUAUAAACCAGAUGAUCCUUAUCUCGUAGAUGACAUGCACUGUGCUGUUUCUGAUAGUGAAGCCUAUCAUUUGGGCCAAGAGGAGACUGAUUGGUUUGAGAAACCACGGGAGGCUCGCUCUGAUCGCUCAAGACAUCAUGGGAGCGGCGGUCACUCCUCCACAGGGAGACGUAGUAAACACGCCUACCAUGAUUAUGAAGAGCCUCCAGAGGAAUACUCUCAGCCAGAUGAGUACAACCAGCGCCACCCUUCUUCUUUGUCACGUGACCACCGCCACCAUGGCAGCAGCUCUGGUAGACACAGUUCUGCUCGCCACUCUUCGGAGGACCCCAAGACUUCACGCUCUUCUAGGACCCACCCUAAAGACCAAUCUGGUCGCACUGAUGGCAGGGUCUCCUCAUCCACGCAGAGAAGGAGUGGUACAGACCCUCGCUCUGCCCACGGAAGCCCACGCAACUCAGGAGACUUCUCUCGUGAGUCUGCCUCUGGUCAUCACCACGGCACUGGUGGUCGGACCCAGAGAUCUCAAGGUGAUCGCACAGCCGGCAGGAGACAAGAUCCUUCUAAGCCACAGAACCAGCAGCCACCUCAAGGACAUGCUGGGCAGCAGCGAUCAGAGGGUCAGGGGCAGACGGGAAGACAUUCAGGUUCUGAACAACUUGACGGUAGCCAGCAGACUCCGCAGCAGCAGCAGCAGCAACAGCAGCAGCAACAGCAGCAGCAGCAGCAGCAGCAUCAUCAGCAGCAGCAGCAGCAGCAUCAACACAGUGUGCAACAACAACAACAGCAGCCGCCGCAGCACAAUCAGGCCCCCCAAAGUAGCCAGCCACCCACCAACGCUGGAACUGGACAUGCACAGCAGCAGCAGCAGCAGCAGCAAGCCAAACCUGGACAAGCUCCAUCACAGGGACGUCAACCAGGAAUCGGGUCUGCAGCAGGGCAGCUGGCCACAGCGGGAAAAAUGGAUGUCACACCUGCUGCUGCUACUGUUGGCCCAGGAAUGAAACCUGCAGCAGGAAUUGCAGCAGCACCUCAGCCAACCAAAAUAGCCACACCACCUCUAACUGGCAUUGGCUCCAAGGCGGCUCCUGUUGGAAUUGGCAGCAAGCCUGUAGGGAUAGGAAGCGCUGCAGCAGGUCAGGCCCCGGGUCCUGAAGGAGAUAAUGUUCUUACCAAAAUUCUGCAGGGAGGAGCAGCAGAGCAGGCAGGAAAACUGGGAGAUGCUUUGACUGGGCUUGGGAAAAAGUUCACCUCAUUCUGGUGAACUAAAAGGAGACCAGGAGUACAGGAAUGAACUGAGACGGACUGGUUGCUUUGUCCCGGAAAACCUAUGAAACCAUCUUACAUAAUAUUUUACAUCCACCAGGAAAAAGAAGAAUGAUCCUGAAUGCAUCAGUCUGUAAUGAGGACGAGGUGAAGUGGAGGGAGAAAGCAACGCUGCUUUCUUUCAUCCUGCAGAGAAGUGCUUCUGCAUGGACCUUGUGAGAAAGCAGUGGUCUUCACUAACAGAGGCAAGCGGUUGGGGGGUUUAUCGGACAAGCCGCCCAUGCAUGCAUGUCUCUGUGAUGCAGCUCUGGAAAAGAAGCCUCACAGCGCCCUCUGCAGAGAUUUUAUUGCAACACCACUUGCCUCCAAGGAACCAAGGUUGCAAUAGGAUUUUUGAUUCUACAUUGAUGCUUUAGGAGCAUUCUCCAAAAAAAAUAAAAAAAUAAAUAAAAAUAAAGGUUGGAUUGCAUAGGUUUUCCUUGUCUCAAAGAAACCAGUCUCACCCUAUGAUGACAACAUGCACCUGGAACCGACGAAGCUUUUAACAGCAACACCAGUUUCGAGGACUUUGAUUCUAUCAAAGUCCUCGAAAUGCUUCACCACAGUACAUUCCAGUAAAGGGAGCUUGACCAGUUCUCUGAAUGUGUUUUUCAUUUCUCGUCUCUUUGUUAUGCCGUCUACACAAUGCAUUGUGUAAAUGUGGACACAAAAAUGCACGUACAAAUAGGGGGAGGAAAAAAAAUGAAAAAAAAAAAAAAAAUCUGGAAAAUACAAGCCCAUAUCUGUUCCUUUUUUCACCACUUAUGUAAGAUGCCGCUACUCGUUAGGUGUUGGUUUUUUUAAAGGAAGGGACUUAACUACCGGCGUGCCCAUACGUGUGAGACACACAGACGAGAGGACCAAAUGAAAGAGUGGCCACGGCUCUUUAUCAGCCAUCGCUAAGCCAUCGUUACAGACAUCCUUUUUUUUAAUUGAUUUGUCUCAUCUUUUGUUGAUUUUUUUUUUUAAAUUUCCUUUUCUUGUUCUUGUUUUGCCUGAUAAUGAAUGAAAGAGCCUUAUUCACUUAUGGUUUUACUUGUAUACCUCAUGUUUUAAGAUGUCCACAUCAUAAUGAAUUUUUUUUUACACUGUAUACUAUUGUAUGUACAUAAAACAAAUCAGAGAUCUAUGAUGUAAAUUUGUCAUUUGUGUAUUUAAUGAGUCACUCUCCAGUGAAUUUCAUUUUUUUGUUGCUCUGUGUUUUUUUUGUAAAACUUUAUAUUUUCACUUUGUAUUUGUUUGAAUCUGUUAUUACAUCAAAUGAUUUGCGUUUUUGCUUGGUUUUUAAAAGCAAUAGCAUGCAGCAAAUGGUAUAUAGCACAAUAGGAUAAAUGUUUGUUUUUCUUUCAAUUAUUGAUGGGGGGAUAUCAAAUAAAAGGCAGUAAUAAGAUCUGUCAGAGGGUUUACAGCCACAGCACCACAUGUACAGACAUGCAUGAUAAUGUUCGGAUGCGUAAGAGCAUGCUGACAGGUGGACACACUCUAUAUAUUUAUCUGUUACAAGCUCACACACACACACACACACACCUUGCACAUGUUGCAAUCCCAGUUCCACUUCAGAGCCAAGGCUAAUUGAGUUUUCACCAAAUAGACUUGUUAACCUCCCGCUGAUUAAUGAGGUUACCAAUCCACUAACAAGCUGGGCCCACUGCCUCCGUUUCUGCAAGACACACAACAGAACAACACAGAUACAGGAGAGGAUGAAAAGCAAUUAUCAAAGUCAAACGUUCUAUGCAAUGACUCAUUUUGAAACGUGGAAGUGAUUCACUCGAAAGCGGUUUAUCACCAUCGCUGUAUUCACAACAAAACAUUAGAAUCAUGAACAACAACAACAACAAAAAAAAAAGGUUAAAAAAAACUUGAACUGAAAAUGUUUUUACUUGGAAUCUUGUCUGUAUGAAUUUGAAUACUGAGUAUUGAUCUAGACUUGUUUUUAUUUUCGCGGCAUGUUCUUAACCCUCUCUCUCUCCCCACACAGUGGGGAAAGGCGGGGACUCGUUGCCAAAGGGUAAACUUGUGUAGACUGUCGGUUUUAUGAAUGUCCACCAUCAUGUUGCUUUUGAAGCAUGGGGUAUUGCUUGGCUUCAUUUGGCUGUUGUUUUUUUUUUUAAUUAGUUGUUUUUUGUAAGCCCUCAUUCAGUCAUUGUGCAUUUUGGCUGACCUGUUUGGCUUGCAGUGACUGUCUGUGCUGCUAUGAACCUGUAACGCAGAUGGUCGAGCACUUCUCAUCAAUUUGUGUCAGUGUACAUAUUGGGUGUCAGUAUAACUUGUGGGGUGAAUGGAAUGUUUAUAUUGGAUAUACGUCAUUGUUGACUCAACCCACUACAGCCAAGCCAUGUGAAAGGUGCAUGAUUAGAUUAUUCUUGGACGUUGUCGUAGAAAUAAUGAUUAAAAAAAAAGAAAAAAGAAAAGUGAGGCAUGAUUUUUAAGAACUUGACUCUAAGUCUAACCGGCCAAUGAUGAGAAUAUCAGUGAGUUAAAUUGUUUAGCCAGUCAUUCACAAAUCAGGGCAUGUCAUUUGGAAAGCACAAGCCUGACUGGUGGUGCUCGCUGCUCAGCGGAGCACAGGAGCAAAGGUUGCGUAACGGCGCCUCUCUUAAGAUGUGCGGCAGAACCAAGCGGAGGUGCAGUGUGGUCGAUACGAGAUGAAAACAGCCUUCAGGCAGACGGACACAUUCUCACAUUCCUUACUGUAAAUACAACCUCAUUCCUCUGUACAGCUUUUCAGUUUGGAGUACGGCUGUCAUGUGCAUCCCCAUGCCGUAUUUGCUGCCAACUUUUGUGUAUAAAAUAUUUAUUAUGACCACAAUAAGGAUGAUGAUGAUGAUGAUGAUGAUGAUGAAGAAACCUAUAAUGAUGGUUAUUAUUAUUGUUAUUAUUAUUAUUGCAUAAGCCUAGUGAAUGUGGCUAACUUGUACUGACUCUUUACAACAGUGGAACAAAACUCAUGCACAUAUCCAUCCAUCCAGUGCGUGUAGAGUUUCUCUACAUAUUGUACUAAGAAAACCUGCAGCAGGAAGCCCUUUAUCAGGCAAAAACAGAAGGUUAUCAGUUUUUAUGGAUACGAUCUGCGAGCUGAGACAUGGGGGAGAAAAAAAAGAAACUACAAAUCUGGAAAAUGUCAUUCACUGUUGUAAGUGCAAUGGGCAAAAUGUCAAUCGUGUAUCCAUUGUGAAACCCUUGUGUUUUAUUCAGUGUAUUCCUGUAAACAGAUAGAGUACAUUUUGGUGCAUCAUGUCAAGUAAUGUGAAAAUAUUGACCCUGCAAUUUCCAAACGGAGAAACGAAUAAAAAGAAAAAAAAGUUUA